This 269-nucleotide ribosomal RNA is filed under the name Parabeloniscus sp. Amami-0455. RNAcentral describes it as "partial 16S ribosomal RNA". Lineage: Eukaryota; Metazoa; Arthropoda; Arachnida; Opiliones; Epedanidae. The record is from RNAcentral.
UGACUGUACUAAGGUAGCAUAAUAAUUAGCCUUUUAAUUAAUGGCUAGCAUGAACGGUUCUACUAAAGAGAAAGUUUUUUAGAUUAACUAUUGAAAUUGGAAUAAAAAUAAAAAUAUUCUUAUUACUUCUUUAGACGAGAAGACCCUUAGAAGCUUUCAUUAUCUAUAUAAUUUUAGUUGGGGCGACUAAUGAAAAUAAAUAACUUUAAAAUUCAUAAAUAAACAAUUUAAGUUACUCUAGGGUUAACAGCGUAAUUUAAUUUAAGAGU